RNAcentral lists this long non-coding RNA (308 nucleotides) under Hordeum vulgare. RNAcentral describes it as "long non-coding RNA (HVUL_LNC003870)". Lineage: Eukaryota; Viridiplantae; Streptophyta; Magnoliopsida; Poales; Poaceae. The record is from RNAcentral.
GCCCAUUAAAAAUAAGUACAAUAGAAUAAAAGAUUGCAAUUAAAAUGUAUAUUUCAUUUCAGUAGCAUAUCACAUCAAAUACAAUACAUCAUCCACCGACUCCACUCAUUAAGGUUCAACGCCUAACAAGGGCACAUCAAAAUAAUUUUACAUGUGCACAACAAAAUACUUCUGCAAGUGCAAGUGCACAAAAAAAGGACCCAACAUGUGCACAAUCGCUCAUAAAAAGAGUUCCACAAAGAUUGGUUGAGAACUGCAAGUUUCUUCUCAUCCUCUUCCUCUCCACAAUAUGCUCUUGCCAUUGCCGC